This 398-nucleotide ribosomal RNA is filed under the name uncultured Bacteroides sp. Its description in RNAcentral is "bacterial SSU rRNA". It matches the Rfam family "Bacterial small subunit ribosomal RNA", at positions 70 to 462 of the family's 1533-position model. The record is from RNAcentral. Lineage: Bacteria; Pseudomonadati; Bacteroidota; Bacteroidia; Bacteroidales; Bacteroidaceae.
CAGGAAGAAAGCUUGCUUUCUUUGCUGGCGACCGGCGCACGGGUGAGUAACACGUAUCCAACCUGCCCUUUACUCGGGGAUAGCCUUUCGAAAGAAAGAUUAAUACCCGAUAGCAUAAUGAUUCCGCAUGGUUUCAUUAUUAAAGGAUUCCGGUAAAGGAUGGGGAUGCGUUCCAUUAGGUUGUUGGUGAGGUAACGGCUCACCAAGCCUUCGAUGGAUAGGGGUUCUGAGAGGAAGGUCCCCCACAUUGGAACUGAGACACGGUCCAAACUCCUACGGGAGGCAGCAGUGAGGAAUAUUGGUCAAUGGGCGUUAGCCUGAACCAGCCAAGUAGCGUGAAGGAUGAAGGCUCUAUGGGUCGUAAACUUCUUUUAUAUAAGAAUAAAGUGCAGUAUGUA